Molecule: non-coding RNA, 1272 nt
Organism: Macaca mulatta (Rhesus monkey)
Lineage: Eukaryota; Metazoa; Chordata; Mammalia; Primates; Cercopithecidae
Source: RefSeq, a predicted model, not a curated record
GUUUGUCAUCCCAGGGGCUGCCUAGUGGGCAGGGAAGUCUUCCACUCUGUGACCCCGGUCUUCCUCACACAGGAGCCUCCAGCGGUCCUGCUGGGGUCUCAGUCUUCAGCCCGACGUCCUGGAGGCGCCAAAGCACAGGGGCUCAAAAUGAUUAACAUGCAAACGGUGAGAUGUUCGGCUUGAGUCUACGCGCGGGCGAAGAUGCCUCUGUCGCCCCAAACAGUGUCCUUCGCGACGGCGGAAAACUACAGCCCGCCCCCGCUCCCGUGCCUGCUCAGGAAGCCGUGACAAAGCCAGUGCCCGCCGGUGCCCAGAAUGAAGGUGGAAAAAGCCGAGCGCUCCUGCUCGGGGGCGGGGUUGAGAGGGGGAGAUUAAUCCGGGCAAGCCAAGGGGACCUUAGACUUGCAACCAGGGCCGCCACCCGAGGAGCCCGCAUGCAGGGACGCUCCUGAAGGCUUAGGCAAACCCAGGGAAAUGCCCUCCCCUGCCUGCAGAAUCCCCACGCCGUCUCUUACUUCCUCCCUCUUUGCCACUGCCGAGCUUACACGUGCACACACACACACACCCCUCUCUGUGACCGCAACAAACUUUGUGAAACUUGAACUGCUGGGUGCAAACUUCACGCCCUUUUCUCCUUUCCUCUCUUGCCUGGGCCGGCUCCUCCUGGAGCAGGGAGGGAAGAGGUUCUUGGCCUCCAGACCUGGGAGAGGAGUUUCGGAAAGUCAGGGCCCGCCUCGCUGUGACAUUAGACCCUUGCCACCCCACCAGACCGACGGACACUAAACACAUUCCUUGCCGGAAGGAGCUAGUAGUUGCAGCGGCCAGGCUUGGCAGGUCCCUGGCCAACCACCCCGCCACUGCCCUGGCCGGACUUUCCCAGGGCGUUGGUCUCCUGGUUCCUAUUAAGUCGGGGCUGUCCUGGGCUUGGAGCCCAGGUUCAGGGCUGUCAGCCCCUUGCCAGCUGUCUGAGCUCUCUGCCUUUCUAGUUUAUUUUCCCCCAGUUCUCGCCCUGGGUUAGCUCUCUCCCAGCCCUCCACCUGUCUCCGUCUCUGACUCCAUCUCUGGCUCCAUCUCUGGCAGGGCUGCCACUGUCUCUCUGUCUCUCCCUGUCUCUCUGUCUCUCUUGUUUGUUUCAGCGCGCGGACACUGAUUGCGCCUUAUGAAGUUCUAACUGGUUUUGUGUCAGGAAGAUCUUUCUCGCUGCUACCCAGCCUGGCGUGACGGAUUAAACAUCAACUAGUUAAAUAAAAAUUAAUAUCAACUGCCUCCUAA